Molecule: transfer RNA, 73 nt
Filed under: Ixodes scapularis (black-legged tick)
Lineage: Eukaryota; Metazoa; Arthropoda; Arachnida; Ixodida; Ixodidae
Rfam family: tRNA
About the family: Transfer RNA (tRNA) molecules are approximately 80 nucleotides in length.
Source: Rfam by way of RNAcentral
CCUUGGUUAGCUCAGUUGGUAGAGCGCUUCACCGGAAAUUGAGAGGUCCCGGGUUCGAUACCCGGACCAGGCG